AUGGAAUUGAGUUUGUCUCAUACACUUCAUCUUUUUAAUAUCUUUUGUGAGAAUGAUGGAAAGGAAAAUAGUGCUCAAGUGCUAGAAGAAGAAUGCAUUAAAAUGUUUGGCACUAAAUCUUUGAAUGAUGAGCAUGAUUGCAAUGUUUUUAGUAUGAAUUCCUUGAAUAUCCAUGAUGCUAAUGAUAUGCAAAGCCACAAGCUUGGGGAUGCUAUGUUUGGUGAAGAUGAUAUGUUUAGUCCCCCAAGUUUUGAUGAGAAUAUUUAUUAUGAUGAAAUCAUGCCUCCUAUUUAUGAUGAUUAUAUUGAUGAAAGUGGGUUUGGAAGAGUGUCAACUUUAGGAAGUAAUGAUCCCACUAUUUUGGAGGAUGUUGAAUAUUAUUGUGAUAAUUAUGAAAGUGGAUUUGGAGAGGUCAUGACUUUAUUUAGUGAUGAAUCCACUAUUUCGGAAGAGGUUCCAAUUGAUUAUGAGAACAAAGUUGCUAUCUAUUAUGAUUAUUGUGAUGACUUGUAUGCUAUUAAUAAUAAUGAUAACCAUGAAACUUGUCAUCAUGAUUUUAGUUUUCAAUUGGAUCAUGCCUCACAUGAUAAUUAUUUUGUUGAAUUUGCUCCCACUACUAUUCAUGAGAAGAAAUUUGCUUAUGUGGAGAGUAGUAAAUUUUCUAUGCUUGUAGAUCAUGAAAAGAAUGCUUUAUGUGCCAGUUAUAUUGUUGAAUUCAUUCAUGAUGCUACUGAAAAUUAUUAUAAGGGAGGAACAUAUGCUUGUAGGAAUUGCAAUAAUAUCAAGUUUCCUCUCUAUGUGUUGAAAAUCUUGAAGCUAUGCUUGUUUUGCUUUCCUAUGCUAGUUGAUUCUUGUUCCCAUAAUUUGUUUGCUCACAAAAUACCUAUGCAUAGGAAGUUGGUUAGACUUAAAUGUGCUAGUCAUAUGCUUCAUGAUGCUCCCGUUAUGUUUGAAUUCUUAUCUUUUAUGUGA
Molecule: ribosomal RNA, 972 nt
Filed under: Triticum aestivum (bread wheat)
Lineage: Eukaryota; Viridiplantae; Streptophyta; Magnoliopsida; Poales; Poaceae
Description: partial small subunit ribosomal RNA
Source: RNAcentral